CCGGCGCUGGGCGCCUGCCCUCAGCCGCCUCCCCGAACCGCAAGCAGUUCGCCGCCGCGGGAUAGGCAGCGGGCGCUGGGGCGGUGGCACGGGGCGGGCCUGGGGCUCCGCACUCCCUCACGGACUUCGAGCGUGUGUUACCCGGCUGGGUUUGUUGUGGAGGGUGCUGGCGUGGGUCCCUCGCCGUCCGGCGGCGACUGUAAAUAGAGCCUGGAUGUUGUUUACAUGAAGGAUCCGGCGGGAGGAGUCUGCGAGGAGGAGGCGGAGGAGGAGGGAGGGAGGAGAGAGGAAGAGCGGAGUCCCCGCGGCGGCGGCGGUCCGGGGUGAGGGGGAGCCCCGCGCGGCGUCCGGGGACCGGGAGCUACCACGAGGCCGGGACGCUGGACCCUGGGAAGGGGGAAGGGACUUGGCGGAGAUCGCCUGCUCCUGGUCGCAGCUGAACCCGCGGCUUCUUCCUGCCUUCCCGGGCCAAGGAAUCUUUUCACUCACUCAGCCACCCGCGCGCGAGCUGCCACCUUCUUGGAGAAGGACCACACCUGUGCUUAUUCUCGCUUUGGAGGAGAGGCACAUCCAUCCCGGAUCCAGGCAAGUUGUGGUCUACAGAUGUGCUGGGAUUUUCUCUUCCCUCUGGACCUGCACCCUGCCAACCAGCAACUAACUGCUGGAUUUAGAUUGAGAGAGGUGAUCUCUUUAGGUCAGUGCCGUUAUUUGUUCCUUACCAGGUAUUCUAAUGGAAUUGUCUGCUGUCUCCUGACAGCCCCCUUUUUUUCUUUCCCUAAGAGCUUAGCCCAGAACCCGGCCUAAAGCAGCCUGUCUCUGGCUCUCUUUUCCUGGGCCCCACCCUGGCCCCUCUUGGUUCUACAGAGCCAAACACGUCUCCCAAGCAGAAGACACACCCAGCCCCAAAUCCAACCAUUCCAAAAGGGAGGAGAAAACAGUGGACCCAAGGGUCCCCUUUCUGUCCUUAAUAUCCCCAACAGCAUUUUCCUCUUCAAACCUAGAUUUAUAAUCCCUUGAUUCUUCUCACCAGCUGUCCUUCUUACCUUUUUGUCCAUAGACCUUUGAUAGAUAUUUGGGAAGGUGGGGACGAAGAGUGGAGAAGGAGGUUGUCACCUUUCUUCCCUAGAGUGAGGCAUUUUCCAUCUUCUCAGUCUUUGCGUUUUUGAGUAAAAUACGUUUGCAUGCUUAUUUGAACUUGUUUUCUUGCUGGUUAAAUAAUAGCUGGGACUCACAAGGAAGGGAAGGGAAAGGAAAGAGAUGAAAAAUGAACAUCACCCCCCUCUCGGGUUCCACCAUAUGAGCAUCCCCAGAGUUGCUGAAGACCCUUCUGUAAAAGCCAACAGCCUGUCUUUCAUGACAUCACCACCUAAACCUUUCCAACUUUAGCUUCAGAACAGGAAGAACGCUCAAAAUAGAACUAUCUUAGGAAUCCAGCUCCUUUAGAAGAUCAACUUUUAAAUCAGCUGCAGGAGAAACACUGAACUUUGACAUAGGGAAAACUGAAGUGUUUGUUAUUGGUUCCUUUGGGGAGGAGUAGAGGGGAUACUUUCCAUGCAUGUUCAGAAAAGCUUUUCUCAAGGUAACUUGGGUACCUAGACCAAUGAAUGAUUAAUAGGAUGGUUGGGGAUUCAUUUAUUGAAUUAUUCAUAUGUUUCGGUAUGUCAACAAUAACCAGCAUUUUUCAGAAUGAAGAGGGGCUCCUGGAAUCUGCUCUAAAGAGUAUAAAGGAGGUUGUGGAGGGAGGCUGGGAGGGAGCGCUUGAGGAAGGUGAAGAAUCAGGAUGCAGGGACAGCUGCUGUGAGUGUGAAGUUCAGAGGCUCAUCAUAAACAAUGUGGGUAAGUUUUGCGGGGUGACUAAGAUCCUGGACAAAGAAGUAACGAUGUCAGGAUUUUCCACCUUUACUUUGGAACCGAACUGCGUAUCUGAAUUUCAGUGUCUCCAUUCUUUUCUUGAGUUGAGGUGUACCUUUCUCUCUGAGCAAAAAGCAUUGUUCAGUCUCUGGGAAGGGCUGCUUAAUUAGUGAUCAUCACUAAAGUAUUGACAACUUAAGGAUUAGCAGUGGGGCAGAAAAUACUUGGCAUCAUUUGUGCACCUGGUGGGUGUUGUAGAAGGACUUGCUGGUUGAAGAGGGUAAUAUCUUUCAGUCUGGUUCAGGUUUAAAAGAAUCCAGGUGACAGGAUUGUCUGUAACCUCAUUAAUACGGUAGCCUACGUGUUGCUGUCAAGCACCUGAAAUCUGGCUACGAUAAUGAGCUGAAUUUCAAAUUUUAGUAAAUUCUUAAAAUUGAUAUUUGAUGCAGUUAUUGGAAAACUUAAAUAUGUUUGGAAACAAUUUGGACAUAUGCAUCUACUUUUUAAACUGUAAAACGGGUGAAAUCUAAAUAUAGGUUAAGUAUUUCUGAUGAAAAUCUAGAGUUUGAAUUGAGUGAGAUGUGUUGUAAGUAUAAAUUAUACCCCAGUUUUCAAAGAUUUGGUAUAAAGAAAGUAAAAUAUCCCGAGUUAUUUUUAUAUUGAUUACAUGUUCAGAUGAUACUAUUUUAGGUAUAUGGACCUAAAUGAAAAUAUGUUAAGGUUGAUUUAAUCUGUUUUAAAUUUCUUUUUAAAUAUGGCUGCUAAAGUAUUUAAAAACAUAUGCAUGGCUUGCAUUUUACUUCUCUUGGACAGCACUGGCCUGUAACAUCGCUCCUUUUGGUCGAUGGAUUAAUUUCAGAAGAGGUGACUGUGUAAAAUCUCUGCUUUCCUUUGCUGUUUUUCAUGUGGAAGUUUGGGGAUCCCAAGAGUCAUUAUUUUAGAACAUGAGACCUAAUAGUGAAUGCUUUGCAUAUUUCUCUGUGAGAGGCAUGCCGUACUCAGGAAGGUCGAUAAAAGUUUGUAGGGAACUAGAAAGGUUAGUAGGGGUGUCAUGGGAAAACUUAAGAUACCCACACAUCUAGCUGUAGCUGCUUUUGUAAAAGGCUCCUGGGCAUGCCAAGCUCUAUCAGAGAACAGUAGGUGACACAGUAACUAUUGUGACACCUGGUGGCAUAUUAGUGAUACCACUCAUGUUUGUUUUCUCUUACUCCAUUUACUUUCUCUUCUCCACCCCCCCAUGCCCCCACCCCCACAUCAUAGCUCCACUGGUGGUAAUUGGGCCCCCAAGGCUGCUGACCCCUUGUCUCCAAAAAAAAAAAAAAGGAAAUGCUGACCUGAAUGGAGAUAGUGCCAUCUUUGGGGUUUGGUUUUGUCUAAUGAGAUUGACUAAUGGCACUGGAAGGGACUUAGGGGUCAUUUAAAUACAAUAUCCUCAUUUUAUAGAUGACAGACUGUCAUAUAUGUUGCUUAAGACCAAACAGACAGAGGCUGGAAUUAAACGUACACUUUGGUUGAUAACCUAUUUAGAGAAGCCAUAGGAAAUGACAAGGUUUGUCAGUUAAUCAAAUACCUGUUGAGCUUGCACGUUGUGGAAAGGACUGUGAUUAGUGAGGUGAAGUGCCGUGAAGAAAACAGUCUCUGACUUUAGGAACAAUACUGCUGAUUUGAAGAAGUAAUUAUUAGCAGUGUCAAAUUACAGUACAGUACAGGCAUACCUUGUUUUAUGGUGCUUCACAAAUAUGGUGGUUUUUGUUUUUGUGUGUUUUUUUUACACAUUGAAGGUUUGUGGCAACUUUGUGUUGGGCAAGUCCAUUGGCACCAUUUUUCCAACAGCAUUUGCUCACUUUGUGUCUUUGUGUCACUUUUUGGUAAUUCUCAGAAUACUUCAAACUUUUCAUUAUUAUACUUGUUUUGGUGAUCUGUAGUCAGUGAAUAUGAUUUGCUAAAAGCUCAGAUGAUAAGCAUUUUUUGGGUAAGGUAUUUUUUUUAAAGAUUUUAUUUUUUUAAUUAAAGUAUGUACAUUGUUUCUUUUUUGAGAGAGAGAGCCUGGGC
Zalophus californianus (California sea lion) is the source of this 3903-nucleotide long non-coding RNA. RefSeq lists it as uncharacterized. The record is from RefSeq and is a predicted model, not a curated record. The transcript has 4 exons. Lineage: Eukaryota; Metazoa; Chordata; Mammalia; Carnivora; Otariidae.